CGUGAUUGCCGCUCGUCUUGCCUUGCCCCCAAGGAAAUGAAACUAUGGGGGACCCACCAACCCUUCGACCUUGGGAAACCCCAUUGAUUAGGCGUCAUGCUUCACCAACACUGUUGCUAUUCCAAAGUCGCUAAUCGACAAAUAUCACCCCAUGAUUUGCACAUUUCUAAACAAACUAGCAAGGGACUUCUUUUCCCCUGAAAUUGUCGAUUCAAAAUGAAUUCUACACUUGCUAAGUUUUGCUUGAAAAGACAAAAGCCAAAAUAAGAUUCUUCUUCAAAAACCAAAAUAUGGACAAAAUUGAGUUCAACCUAGGAAACUAUAUGUAUAUUUAAUUGCCAUAUCUUUCAUCAAUCUUUCUUUUAUUCGACAUAAAUGUGAAUGUUUUUUAACUUGAUAAAAAUAGAAAAUCUAUCCAUGAAUUACUCAGCAUACUUGCCACAAAUUUCACACAAAACGAUAAGUUACAUCUUCUAGAUAUACUUUACUAUUUAAAUUGUAAUAAUUAAUCAUCAAGUUUAUAAGCUAAGCAUUGCGCCAAAAAUGAUGACAAAAUCAAUUUUCCUUGUGUCUUCUUGCAAACUUUCACAUCUACUUAAUACUAUCACUAUUACUAAUUAGCAUUAAGAUUACCCAAAAAAACUCUCACUUAAUCAUUAAACAAUCUUAACAAAGUUCAAUAAUGACAAUACUUGGGAGAGUAGAGCAUUAUAUUAAUUUCCCACUUUCCAACCAAUAAAUUACUACUAUUAAUUACAUAAAUUUAUUAGGGGUACCUUCUUGCUACUCAAUACUAUAUUUUAAUUAUUGUGUUUCCUCAACCUCAAGCCCAACAAAUUACAAAACCAAAUAUUUUACUAAUUGUCGUUUUAAACAUUAGAGCUUUAUUCUUUUAAUACGUAUUUACCUCUCUUUUUUCACCUUUAAGGCUUUUUAUCAAACGAGUGGCACGCAUAGCAUUGCCAAUUGGCAAAUCAAGAAACUUUUUUU
RNAcentral lists this long non-coding RNA (990 nucleotides) under Gossypium barbadense (sea-island cotton). RNAcentral describes it as "long non-coding RNA (GBAR_LNC000682)". Lineage: Eukaryota; Viridiplantae; Streptophyta; Magnoliopsida; Malvales; Malvaceae. The record is from RNAcentral.